GAUGAAGAACGUAGCGAAAUGCGAUAACUAAUGUGAAUUGCAGAAUUCCGUGAAUCAUCGAGUCUUUGAACGCACAUUGCGCCCCCUGGUAUUCCGGGGGGCAUGCCUGUUCGAGCGUCAUUUACCCCCUCAAGCUCCGCUUGGUGUUGGGCGUCUGUCCCGCUUCGCGCGCGGACUCGCCCCAAAGGUAUUGGCAGCGGUCGUGCCAGCUUCUCGCGCAGCACAUUGCGCUUCUCGAGGCACCGGUGGGCCCGCGUCCAUCAAGCUCACCCCCCCAGUUUGACCUCGGAUCAGGUAGGGAUACCCGCUGAACUUAAGCAUAUCAAUAAGCGGAGGA
Molecule: unclassified non-coding RNA, 337 nt
Filed under: soil metagenome
Description: partial contains 5.8S ribosomal RNA, internal transcribed spacer 2, and large subunit ribosomal RNA
Rfam family: 5.8S ribosomal RNA (bases 1-120)
Source: RNAcentral